UUAUACGACCGUACCGCAAACCGACACUGGUGCGCGAGAUGAGUAUUCUAAGGCGCUUGAGAGAACUCAGGAGAAGGAACUCGGCAAAUUGACACCGUAACUUCGGAAGAAGGUGUGCCCUAUUAGUGUGUAGUGAACAACGAAGCAUGAAUGGGUUGCAAAAAAUCGGUGGCUGCGACUGUUUAUUAAAAACACAGCACUCUGCAAACACGAAAGUGGACGUAUAGGGUGUGACGCCUGCCCGGUGCUGGAAGAUUAAAUGAUGGGGUGCAAGCUCUUGAUUGAAGUCCCAGUAAACGGCGGCCGUAACUAUAACGGUCCUAAGGUAGCGAAAUUCCUUGUCGGGUAAGUUCCGACCUGCACGAAUGGCGUAACGAUGGCCACACUGUCUCCUCCUGAGACUCAGCGAAGUUGAAAUGUUUGUGAUGAUGCAAUCUCCCCGCGGAAAGACGGAAAGACCCCAUGAACCUUUACUGUAGCUUUGUAUUGGACUUUGAACAGAUCUGUGUAGGAUAGGUGGGAGGCUUUGAAGCAGGGUCGCUAGAUCUUGUGGAGCCAACGUUGAAAUACCACCCUGGUGUGUUUGAGGUUCUAACCUAGGUCCAUUAUCUGGAUCGGGGACAGUGCAUGGUAGGCAGUUUGACUGGGGCGGUCUCCUCCCAAAGCGUAACGGAGGAGUUCGAAGGUACGCUAGUUACGGUCGGACAUCGUGACGAUAGUGCAAUGGCAUAAGCGUGCUUAACUGCGAGACUGACAAGUCGAGCAGAUGCGAAAGCAGGACAUAGUGAUCCGGUGGUUCUGUAUGGAAGGGCCAUCGCUCAACGGAUAAAAGGUACUCUGGGGAUAACAGGCUGAUACCGCCCAAGAGUUCAUAUCGACGGCGGUGUUUGGCACCUCGAUGUCGGCUCAUCUCAUCCUGGGGCUGUAGCCGGUCCCAAGGGUAUGGCUGUUCGCCAUUUAAAGAGGUACGUGAGCUGGGUUUAAAACGUCGUGAGACAGUUUGGUCCCUAUCUUCCGUGGGCGCUGCAGAUUUGAGGAAGCCUGCUCCUAGUACGAGAGGACCGGAGUGGACACACCUCUGGUGUAUCGGUUGUCACGCCAGUGGCAUUGCCGAGUAGCUAAGUGUGGAAGAGAUAACCGCUGAAAGCAUCUAAGCGGGAAACUCGUUUCAAGAUGAGAUCUGCCGGGGCCUUGAGCCCCCUAAAGAGUCGUUCAAGACCAGGACGUUGAUAGGUCAGGUGUGGAAGCUAAA
Molecule: ribosomal RNA, 1252 nt
Filed under: metagenome
Description: bacterial LSU rRNA
Rfam family: Bacterial large subunit ribosomal RNA
Source: RNAcentral